This 956-nucleotide small RNA is filed under the name Histoplasma capsulatum var. duboisii H88. RNAcentral's name for it is "Histoplasma capsulatum H88 hypothetical RNA". Lineage: Eukaryota; Fungi; Ascomycota; Eurotiomycetes; Onygenales; Ajellomycetaceae. The record is from RNAcentral.
UUUUGCCAUCGUGAAAUCAUUUUCACUUACUAAAGCUGCACGUAGCCUACAGCUAUUGUCCCGUGAGACGUUACAGAAUUGGUCACUCAUUUUUCCGGUCAUGAUCGAAUCAACAUCGGGCGUUCUCUAUACCAUUAGUGUCACAACGACAUUCUCAAGAGGAACGCUCAGGCCUCUGUCUCAAUGUCUUUCUUCAUUCAUCAAUUCACUGCCCUCUCACAACAAUCUGCUCAAGGUGUUGGGAAAUUGGGGUCAGAGCUGUGUUUGACGCAUUGCCACGCUAGGUUCUGUUAAAUAAGCCUAAUCGGUGCGCAUCUCGGGUCAAGUAACGUGCUCAUUCAUUGAGGAUUGCUGAGAGUAAAAGUAGCCCAACGUCCUUGAUAUUUAUGUUUCUAUUUACGUCACUCUCUAGUUUUCCGUCCCUGCCGGAUCAUUCGUUUCCCUUCAUUUUAUGUGACUUUUCUUUCUCAUUCGAGUAUCCCAUUAGCAUUUUCUAUUUUGUGCUAAGCGUUAUGCCCAUUCAGUCUGUUUGCCCAUAGGAUUUCAACUUUUCAGUCACCAAUCAUGAGGCAACAUUUUCUGGCCUCUCUCAUAUCAUUUUGGAGUAUUAUGAUAAUUGGGACCUUGGGAGGGUCCGACGAAUGGGGUAAAAACAGGCAAGAUCUCAUUGACACCGGGGCAUGCCUGCUUCAGCUGCAAACAAACGCAAGCCAUCAACUCUAUGAAGCACUGAGAGGACGUCGAGAUACUCGCCAGGAUGAGAAGGCAAGAGCUUGUAACAACGGCCACGACUGUGACGACUAUCGAAUUGAUGACCGUGGGAAAAAGAAUCAUCGCCUAUGUACGCCGAGUACAUUAACUAUUCGGAAGGAAUGGCGGUUCUUGUCCAAAGCAGAAAGGAGGAAAUACAUUGAAGCUGUGUAUUGUCUUCAAUCCAAGCCAUCAUUGUUUACGGA